This 321-nucleotide ribosomal RNA is filed under the name Triticum aestivum (bread wheat). RNAcentral's name for it is "partial small subunit ribosomal RNA". Lineage: Eukaryota; Viridiplantae; Streptophyta; Magnoliopsida; Poales; Poaceae. The record is from RNAcentral.
AUGGAUGCAAUGAUUGGAACGGAUCAAAUCAAUACCAUGUUUUGGGAGAGAAUUACCAACCACUACAGCACCUCCGUGGAUGUGCGAUCAGCCAUACGCAAGGUUCUCUUGGGCAUCGUUGGAGCACCAUUCAUGACCAAUGCAGCCGAUGGUCCGGUUGCAUCAACCAAGUGGAUCAACCGAAUGGUGUGCAAGUGGCGGAGUAUGGCCCCUACAUCCAAGAACUAUUCAAGAAUAGGAACACCAAGUUCGACCACAAGCCCUUCAUCUUGCAUCAUUGCUACAAAGAGCUAUGCAAGAACGAGAAGUGGACCCAAAUAA